UACGGAGGAUGCGAGCGUUAUCCGGAUUUAUUGGGUUUAAAGGGUGCGCAGGCGGCACGUCAAGUCAGCGGUCAAAAUGCGGCCCUCAACGCCGUACCGCCGUUGAAACUGGCGGGCUGGAGUUCGUGGGAGGAUUGCGGAAUGCGCGGUGUAGCGGUGAAAUGCAUAGAUAUCGCGCAGAACUCCGAUUGCGAAGGCAGCAGUCCAUCACGCGACUGACGCUCAUGCACGAAAGCGUGGGUAUCGAACA
RNAcentral lists this ribosomal RNA (250 nucleotides) under uncultured prokaryote. RNAcentral describes it as "partial 16S ribosomal RNA". It matches the Rfam family "Bacterial small subunit ribosomal RNA", at positions 524 to 774 of the family's 1533-position model. The record is from RNAcentral.